RNAcentral lists this small RNA (2715 nucleotides) under Pongo abelii (Sumatran orangutan). RNAcentral's name for it is "processed transcript". The record is from RNAcentral. Lineage: Eukaryota; Metazoa; Chordata; Mammalia; Primates; Hominidae.
GCCGCGCCGCGCCGCGCUCAGCCCCGCCGCCGCCCGCCGGCUCUCGGGCUGUGCUGCGCUGCCGACUCAAGUUGGGGAUCCUCGGCUGCUUGCCGCCGCUGCCGCCGCCGCCCGCGGUCCCUGCCUGCCCCAGGCCCGGGGCAUCGCCGCCGGCCGCCGACUCCGCGCCCUGAUCGCUCGGCUCUCUCGUGUUUGAACGGAAAGCAGCCCUUCUCCACCGAGAGGAUCGUCCCCAGCGUGGCUCUGCGUUCCCGGUCACUUUUUGAGAUUUUCCGGGGGGCGCUCGGCGGCUUCCCGGAUUCCAAGGGGACUCGGGCCGCCGAGCGCGGGGGGCCCGUGGAGCGGGCGAGCCGGGGAAGCGCCCCGGCUUAGCAGAGGCUCGCACGGAGGCAAGAACUUAUUCAACAAGUUUACCCCCCUGCUUUCCUCUUUUCGAUGUGCGUUUUCGGACAUGCGGAGGUUACUGGAACCGUGUUGGUGGAUUUUGUUCGUGAAAAUCACCAGUUCCGUGCUCCAUUAUGUCGUGUGCUUCCCCGCGUUGACAGAAGGCUACGUUGGGGCCCUGCACGAGAAUAGACACGGCAGCACAGUGCAGAUCCGCAGGCGCAAGGCUUCAGGCGACCCGUACUGGGCCUACUCUGGUAAGUCCAGUUGUUCUAGUGGAGAUCACACAGGCCAGUUAACAUCCCAUUCAACUCACUUGAAAGCACACUUUGAAUCACUUUUAUGCCUGAGUUCUUUCUGUUUGCUCAAAUCUUUCGUAGUUCACCGAAAGUUGAAAUAUUCGAGCCUGUUUUUCCUGGAGGUUAUAAGUACCUUAAUUUAUCUCUACCACCUGUUUCCUCAACCUGUUUUCCCCUCAAUUUGCAUUUAUUUCUGAACUUUACUGUUAAUGAGUUAUUGUACCAAACUUGUAAUUUUCUGAAAGACGUAGUCUUGUCUUUUCUGUUUUUUCAGGGGCUGUGAUUUCAGACAGCAGAAAAUAUAUGGCUAGUCUUGAGCUGCUAAAUGUCUGCUAAACAUUACAGACAUCAGAUAUCAGAAUGCUCUAUUAGGCUCUAAGCCAAGAAAUGCAACUUUAUUUUUAAAUCACAUCUUGUUCUUUGAAUAUAUUUUAGCUGUCUACUCGAUGGUAAUCUGCAGUCCUUUUCAUUUUUAUUUUUACUUUUACCCUUUGAGCUAAUGAAGGGAGAGAGCAUUGUUCUAACUAUGUUGAAUGUUACAUUGCAAAUAAUUUUCUCACAUUUUAAGGGGACAAAAAUGAAGACCUAAAACUAGGGAUAGACUUUUCUGGAUUACGCUUCCCACAACUCCCAAAAUAUGAGAGGUGGAUUGUUAUUUCUAGAAGAGAUUUUUGAUGCUCAAAAAUAUAUGGAAAAUGUAUUAAAGCUAAUUAAGGAAUGCUUGAGUAAGAUAGACCACUUUGGAAAUUACUUUGGCACUGAAUAAUUCAAACUCCUUCUAUGAAAGAGCUUGGAGGCAUGGAGUAUUAGUCUUAAUAAUAAAUCUGUGUAUUAUGCAGUGUUGUUGCAUAUAGAACUGAAAGUAUUCUUUUCAUAAUGGUGCUCGGGUUUAAAUCCUGAAUUUCUCCCAGCAAAUCCUGUUAAAUUUGUGUCAGUGUAAAAUUUAUAGGUCUGAUCUUUAAUUAUACCUUAUCUAUUGGCUUUUUGCAUCCUUUUGUCUAUUGAUAAAUCUGCUGCCCCUGCAGGGAGAAUAUCCUAUCUGUUUUGUUUUGCAGUGAACAGAUAGUGAUUCUGAAGUCUUCCAUCACACCCAGUACCUUGUGAUUAGAAUUAUCUAAUUAGAGGCUUUUUGUCACCAUUUCUGAUAAAUGAAGGAAAUUGGCAGAUGAAAGCCAAAAUUACAUAUAUAUAUAGCAUCUUGCCAAGAAACCCAAAGAAAAUUUAUCAUUUUGUACUCUGUGCCUCUGACAUCAGUCAGGAGGAAGCACAAAGUGGCUUGCUAUUUACAGUUCAUUAAUUUAGAAUAAUAAUGCUGUUAGUCAGGAAAUUGGAAGUUAUAUCCCAUUAGCAUGUCCAAUUGCAAAUGGCAGUGAAGAGAUGAAAACCCUUAAACUUUUCCCAUUAUGUAGUUAAGAAUGACCAUAAGUGGUGCCAUCUUUGUGAUGGAGUGAUUGUUGAUGUCUUUAACAUUGGUAGACUUCAGAAGUCUCCAUUUUGUAUUUCUGGAAUGCAUUGUGUCUGAAUUUGGGUAUUGCCUCCAGUAGUAGAAGGGCUAAUAGUUCAAAUUCAAGAGUUGGCACACUUUUCCUGAAAAGAUCCAGGUAACAAACAUCAAAAGCCAUAUCGUCUUUGUUGCAACUGCCCAACUCUGCCAUUGUAGCUUAAAAGUACCCACUGACAAUUCUGGACAGACUGGCUGUGCUCUGAUAAAAAUUUACUUAUCAAAUUUACUGGAAUUUGAAUUUUAUAAUUUUCAUGUGUCAGGAAAUAUUCUUCUUUUGAUUUUUUUUCAUUCAUUAAAAAAUAUACAAACCAUUCUUGCUUUGCAGGCUGUGCAAAAACAGGUGGCUGGUUGGAUAGGGUCCACAGGUUAUACAGUUUGUGAACCCUUGUUCCAGUUGAUUUUUUUCCUAGAAAUCAGAUAGGAGAGUCAUUUGAGGAAUUGCUUGGAAGGAUGUGGACUGGUUUGGAAGACUGAAUGAAGUCAUUUGUUAGGCAUAAUGGAAAAAAUAAGAGUAAAAGAAGAAUAGAA